This is a long non-coding RNA of Humulus lupulus (European hop), 1321 nucleotides long. RefSeq lists it as uncharacterized. The transcript is spliced from 5 exons. The record is from RefSeq and is a predicted model, not a curated record. NCBI's taxonomy places the organism in Eukaryota, Viridiplantae, Streptophyta, Magnoliopsida, Rosales, Cannabaceae.
AUAUUGAUCUAUUUUGUAGCAUCCAAAGGAAAAUCUUAGAUAGAGGAACCAAGGCUGUCUUAAAAUAUUUGAAGGACAAAAUUACAGAUCUCUAGUUUAGUUGCAAUUCUAUCCGGACAUCUCUCACUUUUUUAUUUGCCAGAAUUCUUAAUUUGAAGACCACGUGGUUCUUUACAUGGUUGGAGUGAGCGUGACAUUUGUGACCUUAAAAAUUAAUUUAUGAUUGUUUUUGUCAUUUUAAAUAUCCCAAUGUUUGACCAUGGGAUUGUAUUUGCUGUUACUGAUAAUAAUUUAUUUUCUCCACGUAAGCUAUGCCUAUGUGUUUGUAAAAUAUUAUGUGAUUGGUUGUGUAUUCUAUUCUCGUUGUUGUUAUUGCAAAUUCGCUUGUUUGCAAAUUGUACAUGCUUUGAAAUUACAGACAUUGUUUCAUUUUAUGCUCGUAUACAGAUUACACAGUAAUGCCAUCUUAAAUUUUCUUUCUUUUUCCUCAGUCUUACCACAAGAACAAUGGGAAUGUUGUAAAUUUUCCAGUAAAACGCUUAUAUAUAUUAUGGGCGGACAAUAUACCUUAUAUAUCUCACAUGAGGAUAUAGUACACUUUGGACUUGUGGAAGAAAUCGACGCGUCUUGCAUUUCAUUCUAUAUCAGUAUAAUAUAUUCUGAGUUGUCCGAUAGAGAGAUAUCACACUUUUUUGGUUUCAUUGAGCCAUUGUGGUCAUCGAGAAUUAGGGCAAAUAUGGAUAAUCGGGCUGAAAUUAUCUCAGAGUGUAUCAAUAACACAGUGAUGGGUCAACCUUGAUUAAGGACAUACCAUUUCUUACGUCACUGGAUGUUAGUGUUCAUUGAUCUAGAUGACCAUACUUGUUACUAUCUUGAUUCACUUAGAAAAUGUCCUCCAAAUGAUUUGAAGAACCUUAUGAACAGUGUCUCUUCACACAUUAAGUGAAAGACAGGAAGGAAUAAAAAAAAAUUACAAGUGGAAAAUAGUCAAUUGCCCUCGUCAAACAUCGUCAGUAGAGUGCGGUUUUUAUAUCAUAAGGAUGAUGAAGGACUAUUGCUUAAAUGAGACACCCAUGCGAUGGCUAACUAGUAAUUGUGGUGAGAAGAAUACAUAUACACUUGGUGAAAUUAAUGAAACUCGAAAUGAAUGGGUAGCCAAGCUUCUUGAGCGGAUGAGUCAUAGCUAGAGUAACUUUUGAAAUCAAAAUUAAAAAAUAUAUUAAUUUUUGUUUUUAGUUAGCACUUACAUAGUUAUUGCAAGUGUAUAUUUUGAUCUUGUAAUUUUUAGAUUUGGAACAUACUGAGUUCUAUUGAUUUUUUC